AUUGAACGCUGGCGGCAUGCCUUACACAUGCAAGUCGAACGGCAGCACGGGAGCAAUCCUGGUGGCGAGUGGCGAACGGGUGAGUAAUAUAUCGGAACGUGCCCAGUCGUGGGGAUAACGUAGCGAAAGCUACGCUAAUACCGCAUACGAUCUACGGAUGAAAGCGGGGGAUCGCAAGACCUCGCGCGAUUGGAGCGGCCGAUAUCAGAUUAGGUAGUUGGUGAGGUAAAGGCUCACCAAGCCGACGAUCUGUAGCUGGUCUGAGAGGACGACCAGCCACACUGGGACUGAGACACGGCCCAGACUCCUACGGGAGGCAGCAGUGGGAAUUUUGGACAAUGGACGCAAGCCUGAUCCAGCAAUGCCGCGUGAGUGAUGAAGGCCU
This 385-nucleotide ribosomal RNA is filed under the name uncultured bacterium. RNAcentral's name for it is "bacterial SSU rRNA". It matches the Rfam family "Bacterial small subunit ribosomal RNA", at positions 30 to 417 of the family's 1533-position model. The record is from RNAcentral.